CUGUUUUCCAUCUGUGUUUCACGUUAUUCUUUGGAGUCCUCGUUUUCUUUUGGGAGAAGGUACCAGUGUUGAAUCCGGAGCGUAUCCCGGUCUGGUAUGCAAUGCCAUUCCCAGACAGACAGCCCUAGGCCCUCGGUGGAGAUGACGCUAGUGCUUGAAGGUGAUGUUUUUUCCUUGGACUGCGUGGCUGGCGAGAUGGUAACGCUGAGGCGGGGAGCAGCUUCACAGCUCAUUGCCCUCAUCAGAGCAGCCGCCUGAGAAGCACCGUGCCAAAGCCAAGCGCUCGCCGGGUACCCGCUGCAUCGCUGCGAAGGGCGGGGAGCAGCGCGCCCGCUCGCCGGGGCUCCUCGGGGACCCGCUGCCUGCCAGCUUCCCUCUGCCGUCCUCUGAGGCGGCCUGUCCCCAGAUACACGUGUCUGGGAAAGUGCCAAGAUCACAGUCAAAAGGGAGUCACCAAUGAAGAUUUCUCUGUGCAGCUAAGCAAACAGCUCAUGAAGAAAACUCUAAAUGAAACAGUCCCUCUGAUGACACCACGAAUCUGGGAAUGA
This 548-nucleotide long non-coding RNA is filed under the name Falco tinnunculus (common kestrel). Its description in RNAcentral is "lncRNA (ENSFTIG00000012681.1)". Lineage: Eukaryota; Metazoa; Chordata; Aves; Falconiformes; Falconidae. The record is from RNAcentral.